UUUAAUUUGUCGGGGCUGGGAUGCUCGUGAUCGGUUGCCUGUGUAGUUCUACCCUGUUGUGGGUAGCGAAGUUGCCCCUCGAUUGAUAUUUGCUUGCCUUUCUGACAUUUUUUUUGUCAUUUGGGUAGCCGAAAUGAUGGCGAAAUCCUUGUGUAGGUGCGUGGUCGAAUGGACUUGCUGCUGUCACUUGGAUUUUUGCCGGCUCUCACGGAUGCAGUGCCUAGUGCUAGCUCUGCGUGACUUUGCCACGCAGACUUCGGGAGGUCCCCUGUACGAAUCAUUGCGAUGUGGACGCCGUUUGUCGUGUUGCUUGUUUGGCACGCAAAUCGUAUUGUUCUGUCUGGAGUCGGGAUGACGAAGGGCAAGAAUGAAGUGUCCGGGGCAUGGUUGCGUACAUGCGGAAUGCCUCUCUGAUCGUAUGAGCAGCGAUUUCCGGCUCGCGUCCUGCGAAGGCCU
This 456-nucleotide unclassified non-coding RNA is filed under the name Carex maritima. RNAcentral describes it as "partial external transcribed spacer 1". The record is from RNAcentral. Lineage: Eukaryota; Viridiplantae; Streptophyta; Magnoliopsida; Poales; Cyperaceae.